AAUUCCUGUCUGGGAAUUGUCCUGUGCUCCAGCCAUGGCUAGGACUCAUGCGGAGGGAGUCUCCCAGAGCCUUGUGAAGCCCUUCUCGCUGUCCCGGGCUUUUGUUGGCAGCCUCCUCCUUUGAGGAGAUGCCUGCUGCAUCUGUCACUGCAGCCCUGGCUCUGGAGUGGGCGGUGGCAGCCUGAGGAACCCAUUUAUCUCCCGCAGGCUGGAAGUGUGCUAUGAGGUUCCUGGCAGAGCAAGACUUCAUCUCCCCGGCCUCCUCCAUCCGUCUCCCAGUGUGCCUUUGUUUUGAAUCAUUUUUGCAUUCAAUUUAAGAAGAGAAAGAAGAGGCUGAGAUGAAGGAAGGAGGGACUCCAGCAGCUCUGUCACUGUGCCGUCGUCCUCCACGGAGACCACUUUCACCGGGACAGCCACCGUCUUCCCCGUGAGGAUGGCUGUGUUCAGGAUUUCUGCCUCCUGGAAGACCAAACACACCCUUCCAUCACAUCCCCUCCUGAGACAGCCCAGUGCCCGGGAUUUACGGAUGGCCCAGAGAGGUUUUGUCACUUGCCCAGGGUCACCCAGCUAGAAAUUAAUGAAGGCAGGAUUUGAACCCGGGAAGUCCAGCUCCCGAGUCCAUGCAUCAGCUAACUCAAAUACGUCUAAACGUGGACAUGAUGACGGUAGCUUAAGCCGCCGAUGGAUGGCCAGAGGGGCCUGGUGUUGUGAAAGCAGCUUGAUGAGCAGCACCGCAUCGCCAGUGUGAGUGCACCAUGCUCACCCUCAGUCACUCCUCUAGAAUUCUGGUUCCUCUAGAAUUCUGGUUCCUCUAGAAUUCUGGUGAUUUUUUAACUGGUGGGGAACAGAAAGAUCAUAGGAGCCCAUUUUUCAGAUAGAGAAAACGGAGCCUCAAGACCCGGGUAAGGAUCAAAAGGAACAAAUGGUACUCUGGAAAAAAGUGGAACAAUGCUGUUUAACUUGCUGGCCUAAACUGGCUCAUCACAAAGGAGAGAGACAGACGAGGGAGCAGUGUGGCCACUUCUGACAUCAUUCUCAGGGAACACAAUUUCUCACAUUUGUGGUAAAAAGUGAAGAGCAUCUCCACUCUAACGAUAAAAAUCAAAAGGUCUUUCAUGUUUUUGCACGUUCAGGUUAAUAUAAUGAGAAAUGACGCUGGGAAUGACUGAUGAGCAGCUGUAAGCCCAUAUGUCUGGGGUGUUGCCUUUUUCUCUGAAUAGCAUACGCGUUUCUGCCCACCAAGAUCUCAGUGUGGCUGAGUGACUGAGCCUUCAGGCUUGGUAUUUCCCUGCCUCCUCUGUGUAUUUCCAAUUCUUUGACGUCAAGAAUUUUCUCUUUUGCACAGCUUUGCCUUUUCCAGGAGGUGAAUCGUACGGGGAUGACUCACAAAAGUCUUCAGAUAAGAGGAGGACAAAAGAGACCCUUGUUCAGUGGCAGAAGUACCUGCAAAGCCUUAGCUUUGCUUGAGAUAUGACCUAUAACUGCUCUGAUUUUUGGACCCCAGAAAACCCUUGAAAGCUCAGCUUCCUUAUUGCUGUGUGUUCACCUUAUCAUAGCACCUCAGAGCCUAGGAAAUAAAGGCACAGUCUCUCUUUACAAAA
RNAcentral lists this long non-coding RNA (1601 nucleotides) under Pongo abelii (Sumatran orangutan). RNAcentral's name for it is "lincRNA". Lineage: Eukaryota; Metazoa; Chordata; Mammalia; Primates; Hominidae. The record is from RNAcentral.